This 253-nucleotide ribosomal RNA is filed under the name uncultured bacterium. RNAcentral describes it as "partial 16S ribosomal RNA". It matches the Rfam family "Bacterial small subunit ribosomal RNA", at positions 524 to 776 of the family's 1533-position model. The record is from RNAcentral.
UACAGAGGUCUCAAGCGUUGUUCGGAUUCAUUGGGCGUAAAGGGCGCGUAGGCGGCGAGGUAAGUCGGGUGUGAAAUCUCAGAGCUCAACUCUGAAACUGCACUCGAUACUGCUUUGCUAGAGGACUGGAGAGGAGACUGGAAUUUACGGUGUAGCGGUGAAAUGCGUAGAUAUCGUAAGGAAGACCAGUGGCGAAGGCGGGUCUCUGGACAGUUCCUGACGCUGAGGCACGAAGGUCAGGGGAGCAAACGGG